This 253-nucleotide ribosomal RNA is filed under the name uncultured bacterium. Its description in RNAcentral is "partial 16S ribosomal RNA". It matches the Rfam family "Bacterial small subunit ribosomal RNA", at positions 524 to 776 of the family's 1533-position model. The record is from RNAcentral.
GACAGAGGGUGCAAACGUUGUUCGGAAUUACUGGGCGUAAAGCGCGUGUAGGCGGCAGCGUGUGUCGGGCGUGAAAUCCCAUGGCUCAACCAUGGAAGUGCACCCGAAACUGCGCAGCUAGAGUCCUGGAGAGGAAGGUGGAAUACUUGGUGUAGAGGUGAAAUUCGUAGAUAUCAAGUGGAACACCGGUGACGAAGGCGGCCUUCUGGACAGUGACUGACGCUGAGACGCGAAAGCGUGGGGAGCAAACAGG